CCCUCUGUCCUGGGGAACCCCUCUGCCUGCUAUCUGCACCAAGAGGAAUCAACUUAAUGUCUGUUCCUUUAUCUGCACCACGAGGCACCAAGAGGAAUCAACUUAAUGUCUGCUAUCUGCACCAGGAAUCAACAUGGUCUGCUAUCUGCACCAGGAAUCAACAUGGUCUGCUAUCUGCACCAGGAAUCAACAUGGUCUGCUAUCUGCACCAGGAAUCAACAUGGUCUGCUAUCUGCACCAACCAUGUGGCAGACCUGGACUGUAAAGGCACAGUGGGAUUAAAGAAUGUAGCUGACCUGAGAAGUAUUUUUUACUGUCUGUUUCCUCAACGUUCCUAAAGUCACAAACACUUAGAAGCCAACUUGAUGUUUGAUCCAAACGCUUUGAUUUGAAAUAGUUAUGUUUAAUCUUUAUGUUCUUCAAUGUUGUAAUAUAGAAUCACGAAGGGGCAGUAGGGUUGAUGUUAAAAGGUGCUCUCCUGUUGUCGCUGUCGGAUGAACACUUCUUAUCUCCACAACAGAACAUUUUCAGGAAAUGGGGGAAAACUGCCAUAUUUUCCCAUUAACAAUUUACGAAACCUCCAAAAUAAAAAUAAAAACUAAAAUCAAUUUCUCGUCCUCGAGUCAUGAAGUGUUGAGAGUACACUACGGGGAGUUACCGCUUUCACUUUCUGUAAGCAAAUCAAAAUAAAUACAAAAUGGUCAAAUUGCAAAAAUUGAGUUCCAAGGUUUUCAUUCGACAGCAUUUCUAAAAACCUUUUCUAUCACUAGUCUGUUUAUAUGCCGCUGUCAACACGUCUUAGCAAUAACAAAGUAGUUGUUUUAGUGUGUUUUAAAAAGUUAGCAGCACAAAUGUAAGCAGUUCCUGUGGGGAGAAUGACGGUUGUAUUGGACAUGUGCUGAUAUCCUACAAGAGGCUGUGUGUUAAUAUAGGUGUAGACCAGAGCCCUAUGGCACCCUAUUCCCUACAUAGUGCACUACUGUAGAAUAGUAUGGGUCCUUUCUCUUUGCUUUCCUUGUUACUACUCUUGCCUUGUCCAUGGAUCGCUCAGCUGAUACACAAACCUGGGCCGCAUGACACAAGGCACACUAUUCCCUACGUAGUGCACUACUUUUGGUCAAGACUUUGGUCAAAAGUAGUGCACUUCACUCAAGGAAUAGGGUGCCAUUUGUGAUGCAGGACCCAAAUGCAUUAUAAUCACAGUAGCAAUCUGGGCCCAUAGGGCUCUGGUCUACAGUAGUGCACUAUGUAGGGAAUAGGGUGCCAUAGGGCCUGGUCUAAAAGUAGUGCACCGUAUAGGGUGCCAUGUAGGAUACAUCCACAUCGCACUCACAAUGUCAAAAUGUCUCUCUCUGUACAUAAGCUCCUCCACUGAAGUGUCUUGUUGUAUUUCAUAUUUAUUGAAACUGAUUUCACCUCAAGUUGUUCAUUUGAUUAAUUAAUUUACAUCAAAUAUAGAUUUUCCUUUUCAGCACUAAGUUAGGAAAAAGCUCUGUUUUUGUUGUAAAGUACAUAUGAAGCUUCAUUUACAGGGCAGAAUUAUUUUAAAAUAUACAAAUUAUUAUUCUUGUUGAUUGUGUCCCAGAGCUCUGGUCAAAAUAAGUACACUAAAUAGGGAAUAGCGUGCCACAAGGCUCUGAUCUAAAGUAGUGCACUAUAUAGGGAAUAGGGUUCUAUAGGGCUCUGAUCUAAAGUAGUGCACUAUGUAGGGAAUGGGGUGCCAUAGGGCUCUGGUCUAAAGUAGUGCACUAUGUAGGGAAUAGGGUGCCAUAGGGCUCUGGUCUAAAGUAGUGCACUAUGUAGGGAAUAGGGUUCUAUAGGGCUCUGAUCUAAAGUAGUGCACUAUGUAGGGAAUGGGGUGCCAUAGGGCUCUGGUCUAAAGUAGUGCACUAUGUAGGGAAUAGGGUGCCAUAGGGCUCUGGUCUAAAGUAGUGCACUAUGUAGGGAAUAGGGUUCUAUAGGGCUCUGGUCUAAAGUAGUGCACUAUGUAGGGAAUAGGGUUCCAUAGGGCUCUGGUCUAAAGUAGUGCACUAUGUAGGGAAUAGGGUUCUAUAGGGCUCUGGUCUAAAGUAGUGCACUAUGUAGGGAAUAGGGUUCUAUAGGGCUCUGGUCUAAAGUAGUGCACUAUGUAGGGAAUAGGGUUCCAUAGGGCUCUGGUCUAAAGUAGUGCACUAUGUAGGGAAUAGGGUUCUAUAGGGCUCUGGUCUAAAGUAGUGCACUAUGUAGGGAAUAGGGUUCUAUAGGGCUCUGGUCUAAAGUAGUGCACUAUGUAGGGAAUAGGGUGCCAUAGGGCUCUGGUCUAAAGUAGUGCACUAUGUAGGGAAUAGGGUGCCACAGGGCUCUGAUCUAAAGUAGUGCACUAUGUAGGGAAUAGGGUUCUAUAGGGCUCUGGUCUAAAGUAGUGCACUAUGUAGGGAAUAGGGUGCCAUAGGGCUCUGGUCUAAAGUAGUGCAAUAUGUAGGGAAUGGGGUGCCAUAGGGCUCUGGUCUAAAGUAGUGCACUAUGUAGGGAAUAGGGUUCUAUAGGGCUCUGAUCUAAAGUAGUGCACUAUGUAGGGAAUAGGGUUCUAUAGGGCUCUGAUCUAAAGUAGUGCACUAUGUAGGGAAUAGUGUUCUAUAGGGCUCUGAUCUAAAGUAGUGCACUAUGUAGGGAAUAGGGUUCUAUAGGGCUCUGAUCUAAAGUAGUGCACUAUGUAGGGAAUGGGGUGCCAUAGGGCUCUGGUCUAAAGUAGUGCACUAUGUAGGGAAUGGGGUGCCAUAGGGCUCUGGUCUAAAGUAGUGCACUAUGUAGGGAAUGGGGUGCCAUAGGGCUCUGGUCUAAAGUAGUGCACUAUGUAGGGAAUGGGGUGCCAUAGGGCUCUGGUCUAAAGUAGUGCACUAUGUAGGGAAUAGGGUUCUAUAGGGCUCUGGUCUAAAGUAGUGCACUAUGUAGGGAAUAGGGUUCUAUAGGGCUCUGGUUUAAAGUAGUGCACUAUGUAGGGAAUAGGGUGCCAUAGGGCUCUGGUCUAAAGUAGUGCACUAUGUAGGGAAUAGGGUGCCAUAGGGCUCUGGUCUAAAGUAGUGCACUAUGUAGGGAAUAGGGUGCCAUAGGGCUCUGGUCUAAAGUAGUGCACUAUGUAGGGAAUAGGGUGCCAUAGGGCUCUGGUCUAAAGUAGUGCACUAUGUAGGGAAUAGGGUGCCAUAGGGCUCUGGUCUAAAGUAGUGCACUAUGUAGGGAAUGGGGUUCUAUAGGGCUCUGGUCUAAAGUAGUGCACUAUGUAGGGAAUGGGUGCCAUAGGGCUCUGGUCUAAAGUAGUGCACUAUGUAGGGAAUGGGGUGCCAUAGGGCUCUGGUCUAAAGUAGUGCACUAUGUAGGGAAUGGGGUGCCAUUUGGGACAUAUUGUGUUUUGUUUUGGAGAUGACUCCAACAUUGGGAUGCUGCUAGAUGAUAGGUCUGUUGGUCUGUUGCUUUUUCAGGAUAAUAAUAUUUCUACAUUUAACAGUUUCAGCUCACAUGAUAGGUUGCUUUGGUUUUCUAAAUAAAUGUAGUAUGAAAAUAAUGAA
Long non-coding RNA from Oncorhynchus keta (chum salmon), 3542 nucleotides. RefSeq lists it as uncharacterized. NCBI's taxonomy places the organism in Eukaryota, Metazoa, Chordata, Actinopteri, Salmoniformes, Salmonidae. The transcript is spliced from 2 exons. The record is from RefSeq and is a predicted model, not a curated record.